AGCGAACGCUGGCGGCAGGCCUAACACAUGCAAGUCGAACGAACUCUUCGGAGUUAGUGGCGGACGGGUGAGUAACACGUGGGAACGUGCCUUUAGGUUCGGAAUAACUCAGGGAAACUUGUGCUAAUACCGAAUGUGCCCUUCGGGGGAAAGAUUUAUCGCCUUUAGAGCGGCCCGCGUCUGAUUAGCUAGUUGGUGAGGUAAAGGCUCACCAAGGCGACGAUCAGUAGCUGGUCUGAGAGGAUGAUCAGCCACAUUGGGACUGAGACACGGCCCAAACUCCUACGGGAGGCAGCAGUGGGUAAUUUUGCGCAAUGGGCGAAAGCCUGACGCAGCCAUGCCGCGUGAAUGAUGAAGGUCUUAGGAUUGUAAAAUUCUUUCACCGGGGACGAUAAUGACGGUACCCGGAGAAGAAGCCCCGGCUAACUUCGUGCCAGCCGCCGCGGUAA
This 449-nucleotide ribosomal RNA is filed under the name uncultured bacterium. Its description in RNAcentral is "partial 16S ribosomal RNA". It matches the Rfam family "Bacterial small subunit ribosomal RNA", at positions 29 to 523 of the family's 1533-position model. The record is from RNAcentral.